Long non-coding RNA from Neofelis nebulosa (Clouded leopard), 1794 nucleotides. RefSeq lists it as uncharacterized. The transcript has 3 exons. The record is from RefSeq and is a predicted model, not a curated record. NCBI's taxonomy places the organism in Eukaryota, Metazoa, Chordata, Mammalia, Carnivora, Felidae.
UCCAGAGGAGCUUCGAGUCCGAAGCUCCCAUACCUGAGCUGGUCCUUUUUUGCCCCGCCCCGGAGUCAGUCGCCCAAUCUGGGAGCUGACAUCACGCCUGCACUCUCUACUUCCUCUCGCCCUCCUUCUGGAGCCGUGAGCGUCCGCGCUUUUUCCGGUGUCGCGGUGCUUCCGUGUUGUCUACACCUGUGAGCAAGCAGUGAGAAAUUAAGUUGUUGACGUCUAGUAAACCGACCGAUCUGUUUGUUUUCUUUUUCGCAAGGGGUAGUUAAGACGCUCUCCUCCUGUUAAACUGUCUCAUUUCAAAAGCCUUUUAGGUUGAGAUGUGCGUUCGUUCCCUCUUUGGCUCCAGCGUCCCUGGAAUAGUUUUCUGUUCGUGGCCAUUCUACUUCUUUUGUGAAGGCAGGGAGCUUGGCUCCCAUCAAAUGCAUAUGAAAAACUCACGACAACAAGCACUUCUUGUCAGAAGAAGACUCUGAGAUGAUGGUUUGAGUGCAAGUUGAGUGCAAGAAGUGGCCCUAGGAAACUCCAUUCAGAGGAUGGAGAAGUGAAACAAAGAAGAUAGGCAGUAAAGCGUGUGCUGUUAAUAAACCAGCUACCAUAGUGGGUGAUGAGAACCUAAUCCUGAUGAGGAACUCUGGCAACUAGUACACAAGAAACAUCUUGGAAUUAUCCCUACGGAGGGGUGAGGAAGCUGGGAUGUUAAUACUCCAUCUACUGAGAGUCCUGAGUGGAGAAGCUGUUGCCAGCAUGGUAAUCCCCAGGUUCUUCUGGUCUAGGAUGCCUGGGCAAGGCAGACGUCUAGUUUUAGAAAAAAGUCCUCAGGAAUAAAGAUACAGAUAUGGACUGUUGGGAGUUGGUUGCAGCACAAUUAAAAGAGUAAAUAAAGUUCAAGAAAUGAGCGUGGGAUGCUGGUAGCUUCUGCUACAACGGGCAGUUUUUUGUUUGCAGACAAAAGGGUGCUCAGGAAUGGAAAAGCAUAGACUUUUUCUGUAAGAAGCACUUGCUAGUUUCCACUUGGAAUCCCUGCAGCUUCAAUAUAUGGACAAUUUCUCAGCAUCCUCAGUCCUGCAUAGUGCCCUGAUCCGUGCCUGGGUGUAGGCCUCUUUCAUCUUGUCAGGCUUAUUGGGAGCUCCCUCCAGUGCCCUGUCUCCUCUAGUUUCCUCACUGGAGAACCCAGCACAGGCCUGGCCAAACGAGAACUCACGUUCUAAUUGAAUUGAUGACCACAUAGGUGAAUACUGCUCUAUACAUGGACUCGAGAGAGAGAGAGAAAAGAAAAGCCAGUUGGAAUGAAAAGUCUUUGCAUAGCUCUUGCUUCUGCCUGCACUGCUGGGUCCCUUGAUGGUCAUGUGUCAGAUUCCUUGUUGUUCAUAUCUCAGCUGCAACGUCACCUCCCUGGGUCAUUCCUGACUCCAUUACUUAAAGUAGCCACCCAGACACUCUUUAGCACAUUACCUUGUUGUAAUUCUCUGCACAGCACUUCUUGCCAUGUGAAGCUUUCCUUGGUGGUUUAUAGUUUGUUGCCUGUCUCCCCCAGAAAUACAGGUUAUUUAUACUGUGUUGCCUUUUUUUUUUUAAAUUUUUUUUAACGUUUAUUUAUUUUUGAGACAGAGAGAGACACAGCAUGAACGGGGGAGGGGCAGAGAGAGAGGGAGACACAGAAUCGGAAGCAGGCUCCAGGCUCUGAGCCAUCAGCCCAGAGCCCGACGCGGGGCUCGAACUCGUGGACCGCGAGAUCGUGAUCUGAGCUGAAGUCGGACACUUAACCGACUGAGCCACCCAGGUGCCCCC